Molecule: ribosomal RNA, 371 nt
Filed under: uncultured bacterium
Lineage: Bacteria
Description: bacterial SSU rRNA
Rfam family: Bacterial small subunit ribosomal RNA
Source: RNAcentral
UUGGAUUAAUACCGCAUACGCCCUACGGGGGAAAGCUGGGGACCUUCGGGCCUAGCGCUAUCAGAUGAGCCUAUGUCGGAUUAGCUUGUUGGUGAGGUAACGGCUCACCAAGGCGACGAUCCGUAGCUGGUCUGAGAGGAUGAUCAGCCACACUGGGACUGAGACACGGCCCCGACUCCUACGGGAGGCAGCAGUGGGGAAUAUUGGACAAUGGGCGCAAGCCUGAUCCAGCCAUGCCGCGUGUGUGAAGAAGGCCUUCGGGUUGUAAAGCACUUUCAGCGAGGAGGAAAGGGGUGUUGCUAAUAUCAAUGCCCUGUGACGUUACUCGCAGAAGAAGCACCGGCUAACUCCGUGCCAGCAGCCGCGGUAAU